GACGUAGGGCGCGAGCGUUGUCCGGAUUUAUUGGGCGUAAAGAGCUCGUAGGCGGCUUGUCGCGUCGUCCGUGAAAACUUGGGGCUCAACCCCAAGCUUGCGGUCGAUACGGGCAGGCUCGAGUUCGGUAGGGGAGACUGGAAUUCCUGGUGUAGCGGUGAAAUGCGCAGAUAUCAGGAGGAACACCGGUGGCGAAGGCGGGUCUCUGGGCCGAUACUGACGCUGAGGAGCGAAAGCGUGGGGAGCAAACCGG
RNAcentral lists this ribosomal RNA (253 nucleotides) under uncultured bacterium. Its description in RNAcentral is "partial 16S ribosomal RNA". It matches the Rfam family "Bacterial small subunit ribosomal RNA", at positions 524 to 776 of the family's 1533-position model. The record is from RNAcentral.